RNAcentral lists this ribosomal RNA (448 nucleotides) under uncultured bacterium. RNAcentral describes it as "bacterial SSU rRNA". It matches the Rfam family "Bacterial small subunit ribosomal RNA", at positions 329 to 794 of the family's 1533-position model. The record is from RNAcentral.
UCCCAGACUCCUACGGGAGGCAGCAGUGGGGGAUAUUGCACAAUGGGGGGAACCCUGAUGCAGCGACGCCGCGUGAAGGAAGAAGUAUCUCGGUAUGUAAACUUCUAUCAGCAGGGAAGAAAAUGACGGUACCUGACUAAGAAGCCCCGGCUAACUACGUGCCAGCAGCCGCGGUAAUACGUAGGGGGCAAGCGUUAUCCGGAUUUACUGGGUGUAAAGGGAGCGUAGACGGCAAGGCAAGUCUGGAGUGAAAGCCCGUGGCCCAACCACGGGACUGCUUUGGAAACUGUGUUGCUGGAGUGCAGGAGGGGUAAGCGGAAUUCCUAGUGUAGCGGUGAAAUGCGUAGAUAUUAGGAGGAACACCGGUGGCGAAGGCGGCUUACUGGACUGUAACUGACGUCGAGGCUCGAAAGCGUGGGGAGCAAACAGGAUUAGAUACCCGCGUACC